GAAAUUACCUGGCAGGGGAAAUGCGACCAUCACAAAAGUGAUUUUCCCAGAGCAAGUCUCAUUCGUUGCAUUCCAAGUCUGUUGACCUCUACAAUUUACCCAAAUGUGGAAAAAUUGUUUGUAUAAUUUGUGAUAUAGGAACUGCAUUUGUACUCUACAAU
Small nuclear RNA from Molossus molossus (Pallas's mastiff bat), 161 nucleotides. RefSeq annotates it as U1 spliceosomal RNA. Lineage: Eukaryota; Metazoa; Chordata; Mammalia; Chiroptera; Molossidae. The record is from RefSeq and is a predicted model, not a curated record. The transcript has a single exon.